RNAcentral lists this ribosomal RNA (429 nucleotides) under Actinomycetes bacterium. Its description in RNAcentral is "Actinobacteria bacterium partial 16S ribosomal RNA". It matches the Rfam family "Bacterial small subunit ribosomal RNA", at positions 355 to 776 of the family's 1533-position model. The record is from RNAcentral. Lineage: Bacteria; Bacillati; Actinomycetota; Actinomycetes.
UAGGGAAUCUUCCGCAAUGGGCGAAAGCCUGACGGAGCAACGCCGCGUGAGUGAUGAAGGUCUUCGGAUCGUAAAACUCUGUUAUUAGGGAAGAACAAAUGUGUAAGUAACUAUGCACGUCUUGACGGUACCUAAUCAGAAAGCCACGGCUAACUACGUGCCAGCAGCCGCGGUAAUACGUAGGUGGCAAGCGUUAUCCGGAAUUAUUGGGCGUAAAGCGCGCGUAGGCGGUUUUUUAAGUCUGAUGUGAAAGCCCACGGCUCAACCGUGGGGGGUCAUUGGAAACUGGAAAACUUGAGUGCAGAAGAGGAAAGUGGAAUUCCAUGUGUAGCGGUGAAAUGCGCAGGGAUAUGGAGGAACACCCGUGGCGAAGGCGACUUUCUGGUCUGUAACUGACGCUGAUGUGCGAAAGCGUGGGGAUCAAACAGG